RNAcentral lists this ribosomal RNA (441 nucleotides) under uncultured bacterium. Its description in RNAcentral is "bacterial SSU rRNA". It matches the Rfam family "Bacterial small subunit ribosomal RNA", at positions 355 to 786 of the family's 1533-position model. The record is from RNAcentral.
UAGGGAAUCUUCCACAAUGGGCGCAAGCCUGAUGGAGCGACGCCGCGUGAGUGAGGAAGGUCUUCGGAUCGUAAAGCUCUGUUGUUAGGGAAGAAGAAGCGCCGUUCGAACAGGGCGGCGCGGUGACGGUACCUAACGAGAAAGCCCCGGCUAACUACGUGCCAGCAGCCGCGGUAAUACGUAGGGGGCGAGCGUUGUCCGGAAUUAUUGGGCGUAAAGGGCGCGCAGGCGGCCCCUUAAGUCAGUUGUGAAAGGUCCCGGCUCAACCGGGGAGCUGCAGCUGAAACUGGGGGGCUUGAGUGCAGGAGAGGAGAGCGGAAUUCUCGGUGUAGCGGUGGAAUGCGUAGAGAUCGGGAGGAACACCAGUGGCGAAGGCGGCCAUCUGGACCAGCACUGACGCUGAGGCACGAAAGCGUGGGGGAGCGAACAGGAUUAGAUACC